RNAcentral lists this transfer RNA (74 nucleotides) under Pseudomonadota bacterium. RNAcentral's name for it is "tRNA-Pro". It matches the Rfam family "tRNA". From Rfam's summary of the family: Transfer RNA (tRNA) molecules are approximately 80 nucleotides in length. Their secondary structure includes four short double-helical elements and three loops (D, anti-codon, and T loops). Lineage: Bacteria; Pseudomonadati; Pseudomonadota. The record is from RNAcentral. RNAcentral also lists the same sequence under 1 other name.
CGGAGUGUAGUAUAGCGGUAGUACGCGCGCUUUGGGAGCGUGUAGUCUGGGUUCGAUUCCCAGCACUCCGACCA